UACGUAGGGGCCGAGUGGUUUGCGGAUUUAUUGGGCGUAAAGCGCGUGUAGGUGGCUUGUUACGUCCGAUGUGAAAACUCUCGGCUCAACUGGGAGAGGCCAUUGGAAACUAAUAGGCUAGAGUGCAGGAGAGGGACGUGGAAUUCCUAGUGUAGCGGUGAAAUGCGCAGAUAUUAGGAAGAACACCAGUGGCGAAGGCGGCUUCCUGGACUGUAACUGACGCUGAGUCGCGAAAGCUAGUGGAGCGAUCAGG
This 253-nucleotide ribosomal RNA is filed under the name uncultured bacterium. RNAcentral's name for it is "partial 16S ribosomal RNA". It matches the Rfam family "Bacterial small subunit ribosomal RNA", at positions 524 to 776 of the family's 1533-position model. The record is from RNAcentral.